GAUGGAUCUGAUCCGCCAUGCCGCGUGCAGGAAGACGGCCCUAUGGGUUGUAAACUGCUUUUGUAUGGGAGCAAUAAGAUCUACGUGUAGAUUGAUGAGAGUACCAUACGAAUAAGCACCGGCUAACUCCGUGCCAGCAGCCGCGGUAAUACGGAGGGUGCAAGCGUUAUCCGGAUUUAUUGGGUUUAAAGGGUGCGUAGGCGGUUUGAUAAGUCAGCGGUGAAAUAUUUCAGCUUAACUGGAAGGGUGCCGUUGAUACUGUCGAGCUUGAAUUUAGUUGCUGUGGGUGGAAUGUGUGGUGUAGCGGUGAAAUGCAUAGAUAUCACACAGAAUAUCGAUUGCGAAGGCAGCUCACAAAGCUAAUAUUGACGCUGAUGCACGAAAGUGUGGGGAUCAAACAGGAUUAGAUACCCUGGUAGUCCACACUGUAAACGAUGAUAACUCGCUGUCGGCGAUACACAGUCGGUGGCCAAGCGAAAGCGAUAAGUUAUCCACCUGGGGAGUACGACCGCAAGGUUGAAACUCAAAUGAAU
Molecule: ribosomal RNA, 533 nt
Filed under: uncultured bacterium
Lineage: Bacteria
Description: bacterial SSU rRNA
Rfam family: Bacterial small subunit ribosomal RNA
Source: RNAcentral